This 131-nucleotide ribosomal RNA is filed under the name Listeria monocytogenes. Its description in RNAcentral is "partial 23S ribosomal RNA". It matches the Rfam family "Bacterial large subunit ribosomal RNA", at positions 1 to 123 of the family's 2925-position model. Lineage: Bacteria; Bacillati; Bacillota; Bacilli; Caryophanales; Listeriaceae. The record is from RNAcentral.
AGUAAAUUGGUUAAGUUAGAAAGGGCGCACGGUGGAUGCCUUGGCACUAGGAGCCGAAGAAGGACGGGACUAACACCGAUAUGCUUUGGGGAGCUGUACGUAAGCGUUGAUCCAGAGAUUUCCGAAUGGGG